UAUGAUACCCUUGGUUUUUUUGAACUUGAGGGGUAAGAGUCUACACAUAUUUGUACCCUAGAGCCGACAUAACAUGCUAGAGUAAACUCAUAUUUUUAUCCUAGAGUCUACACAUAUUUGUCAUGUCUAGAUGAGUCUCGAAUAGACAACAAUCGUCUAGAUCAAUCUUUUUUGAAAUGAUAUAAGGGCAAAAAAGGUGUAACAGCGAAAGGCAAGAAAAGGAAACACGAGUCUGCUGGGCCUGGGGCUGAUGUGUAUCUCUACUACUAUAAAAUAAGCAAACGUUAACUCCCCUAAACGCAUCCCGCUUACUGUACACAGAAGAAAACACAUCAAUUGGAGGGUCAAGAUAAGCCUACUCAAUGGGAUCUAACCGUGAAUACAUAAAAGUACCCCUCACGUUGUACGCUAAGCAAUUUAGGUGGGCGGACGAAACUCUGUCGUCCUUCAGCCAACGCCAACUAAAAGAAAAGAAAAAAAACACAGUGAAACAGCCACAUCCGCUCCAAAAUUAGUGGCAACCAAUCCUCCCGUCGCUCUUCAGAGUUGCCCUCCACCGAAACGCCCGCGCCGAGGAUGCCCGCACCGACGACGCCAGACGACGGCGGCACCGACGACGCCAGACGACGGCCGCACCGACGACGCCGAUGACGACCGCGACAUCCAUGACGACGACCUCCUCGCCAACACAGGUGCAUGCUUUCUCUUCAAUCUUUCAGACGCCGUCGCCUACACUGUCGCGACUGUCUCCGGACUAAGCAUCGGCGGCGGCAAACUCCUCGGCAGGCUGAUUUGCAAGCAUGUGAGGAUGUUAACAAUGACAUCCGUUCAUUGCUCCUGUUUCUGUUCUGCAUAGUUCUGCAUAAAUAGUGAAACCAUGGUUAAUCCACAUACUAGGAUCUAUGAUUGUCCAUGUAAUCGAUGCAAGAGAUGAACCAUAUGCCGUGAGCAUAUGUUAUGAAAACCAAUCAUAAAGUGCAUGAGCAAGUGAAAUCAUACCAUGGAUCCUCAGCAGAUCCCCAUGGUACUGAAAAUUUGAUACCACUGACCUAACCUAUGACUGAAACAAAUCUUUGUAGUUUGCCACAAUGUUCUGUCAAAUUAAUAUGUACAUAUAAAAUUCACACUGACUGUGACCUCUUGGUUCCGAACAUUAAUCUAUAUGAAUAUUAUUACAAACUACAGAGCUACAUGUUUACCGCCAAUGUCCCCUCAAAAUCAUAUGACCAUAAGAAAAUACACCCUAUACAUGAGGCCUGUUGAUCGAAAGCGACAAUUGAGAAUCAAUCUAUUACAAAGAUGUCCCCUCAAAAUCAUAUGACCAUAAGAAAAUACACCCUAUGCAUGAGGCCUCUUGAAAGCGACAAUUGCGAUUGAAUCUAUUACAAAGUACAUCAUUACAUUUCGAGGUUGUUGGUUCCAUAUUCUAAAUGAUGGUCUUGCACUCCAUUAAAUAUAAUGAUCUCACAUCUUUUUACAGGAGUUCAUAUGGGCCCUACCACUCCCAACAGGACCCCCACUCCCAGCAGGACGCGCACCCCCUUCCAGGAUAUAAGCAACAACCAAACAUCAGGUAUUGAUCAUAACCCAGUCAGGACGUGCACCCCCUUCCAGGAUAUAAGCAACAACCAAACAUCAGGUAUUGAUCACAACCCAGUCACUCAAGUUCGAUACAGUAUUACAACUACUGAACUGUGUCAUGAUUUGCAGACCCAAAGGAACUAAAAAGGUAGAGGGAUAGAGAGCGGUAUGCAAAAAAUAAGAUGAGAUUAAUAAGAGAAGGCGUGAAGCCUAUAAAAGAAAAAAAAUACCACUGAGGAAAUAGAUGGCCUACAUAACGGAACACCUGCACAGCUAGCUGUAUCACAAGGUAAUGAUGAUCAAAUUUCAUUAUCUAUGCCCCAAUUGAAUUGGCAUGUAAUUAUUUUUUCUUCAUCUGUUCAGACACUAAUGAGACUAAGAAUCGGAGGGAAAGGGAGCGUUAUGCACAGAAUAGAGAGGAAAUAUUAAAGAGACAACGCCAAACCCAUGAGCAAAAUAGAAAUAUUACUGCUGCUUUCGAUGGCAGUAACCUUGUGUCACAUAUGCCAGCUACUUGACAAGAGGCGGUCACCCAACUGCAGAACAUUACUGCUGCUUUCAAUGCCAGUAACAUCGUGUCACAUGUGCCAGCUACUGGACAAGAGGCGGUCACCCAGCUGCAAAACAUCACAGGCCCAGAUGGUGCAUUACCAAUUUUAGGACCAUACAAUGGAUUCAUACAAACUGACAAGGAGAAUAUUUCUGACAAUGAUGAAUCCGAUUGGCUGCACAGAAAUGAUGUGUACCAGAUGCAACAAAGUUCAAGAAGAAUGACACUCAUACAACUGUCAGGGGUUGACAACCCCCAACUCAAUACAGUCGUCAAUCUACGUACCCCAGGGGUAACUUUUCAUGAUCAGGGUUAGUUCAUUGAUUUAAUUAAGUUGCUAAAUUAUCAAUAGUGUUUGUUUCUCCUUUAAUUGAGCACUCCGUUCUUCAUUCGAUUGAGACUAGCAUUUGGUUCAUAUCUUCGGUUCAUCCCUACUACUUACUCACUGGGGUCAACCAAUGUUAUCAGGCAACGACCACGGCGAAGAUGCGUAUGGAAUACUGGAGCCCGAUGUCCAGACCAUAAUACUUGAUGGUAUGCAAAAUGGCAGUUUAAGAUUCCUCUACCCCGAUAAUAUGUGUCAUACGCGUAAUUUACGUGACCUUGUGCAUCAUAACUCUGUCCUAAUCAUGAUUUACUAGACUGCUUGGGAGACCGAAACCUUGGAGAAACUGGUGAUGUUGACCCUGAUGAAGAAGCUAGGAUGUUUGCUAGACCAGGUAGAUUAUUGCUAUCAUGAGUUAUGAAUACGACAUAAGAUAGUUAUAUGGUUUGUGCACAAACUUUAAAUAAUGCAAUUGUCCAUUCUUUUCCAGAUGUUGAUUUUGAAUCCUACCGAGUGGCACUGCCAUCGUGGCGAACGGUGGCGCCCCUAACGGUCCUUUUCUGCACUGUUUGGGCGAUCCAGACGGGCAUUUAAUGCCCUUGUCCCCUGCCGUCAGGGUUAGGUAGGGUGCACUGUACAAGUAACUGUACCAACCACCUCACUUUUUACAUUUGUACCCUUCUCUGCGUUGCCACCUGUCGGUGACCCCUUCAGUGUAUAAAAGGAGGCCCAUGCGCAACGUAGAGGGGGUUCGGUUCGACUGGUUCGCAAGGUUCGACCCAUUCAUAACCCAGAAAAAGACUAUGCUCUCUCUCUAUGGAGCAAGAACACAAGAUAAUCAAACAAGCAGCAGUAGGGGUGUUAUCUCUCCGGAGAGCCCCAAAGCUGGGUAAACUGCUCGUGUGCUUCGCCUCGAUCUGCUCUUCGUGCGAUCUCCGCCCCCCGCCGAACCGAAAGGGGCCCGGUCCGCCGGCCCCAUAGGUGUUGGUGAUGGAACUAUCACUAAUGAGCAUCAUGACAGAGUUUACAUGAACCUGCCCAAAAAUCACCAUGUACUUAGAAAAGUUAGCGACUGCUGCCACUGUGGAGCUUUGUGGUUCCAAUACGAGGGGCCUGCAUUUUGUUGCAGGAAGGGAAAAGUUGGUGUAUUUACUCCAGAGGUUGAUGAAGAGUUGAAACGAUUGUUCACAAGUCAGGAUGAUGAGGAUGCAAAAUAUUUCAAAGAUAAUAUACGGUAUUUCAACUCCCACUUCUCAUUCACCAGUCUUGGAGUCACCCUUGAUCGUUGAGUCAGCACUGUGGCAGGAACAGGUGUAUAUACAUUUCGUGCCUGUGGGGGAUUGUACCACACUCUUGAUGAUCUGUCGUCUGGUGAUAAUGGCCCUCGGCAUUUGCAGCUAUAUAUUUAUGAUACGGAUGAAAACUUGCUUCACAGAGUUAAGAGGUCUCCGAAUCUUAGGCUGGAUCUCAUACGGAAGAUUCUAACAAUACUAGAACAUAACCCUUAUGCAAAGGUGUUGAAGAGCCUUGGUGCUGUUCCAAAUCUGGAUGAAUAUAGGAUCUCACUAAACACAGAUAUCAACCUCGAUCAACGAAGGUACAAUGCGCCAACUACUUCUCAGGUUGCAGCAAUAUGGGUUGAAGGAAGCGACCCACAUAAAACCUUUGAUAGGAGUGUUGUUGUAUAUGGUAAAGGAGACCGUCCCCUGUAUAUUAGAGCAUACCAUGGGUGCUACGACCCUUUGUCAUAUCCACUGUUCUUCCCACGUGGGGAGAUCGGUUGGAAUCAUUGGAUGCCAUAUAUUGAGUUAGUCGAUGACACAAACCAAGUUUCAGUGGAUGAAUUUGCACAACAGAACCCAACCUAUGGUUUUCCUUCAAGUAUGAUGUUCAAAAUUGGUAUAUAUCAUAUUAUUUAAAUUAAAACUUAAGCAUUCAUCCAUCUUUCAGAUGAUAACGUGAUUAGAGAACAAGUUGGUCAUAACGCACAGCAUGAAGAGCAACCCACUGAUUUACCUGAAGGUAUAGGUCGUCAUUACUACUUCUAUUAUUCUCUAAAUUCAAACUUAUGCAGUCAUCCAUCUUUCAGAUGAUAACAUGCUUAGAGAACAAGUUGGUCAUAACACACAGCAUGAAGACCAACCCACUGAUUUACCCAAAGGUAUAGGUUGUCAUUACUACUUUUAUUGUUCUUUAAAUUAAAAUUUAUAGUCAUCCAUCUUUCAGAUGAUAACAUGAUUAGAGAACAAGUUGGUCAUAACGCACAGCAUGAAGACUCACCCACUGAUUUACUUGAUGGUAUAGGUCGUCAUUACUACUUUUAUUAUUCUUACUUAUGGUUGUACCUACCAUAACAAUUUUUAUGUUGUUAACCAAUUAUUAGGUGAUGACGAUGAUAACCUGGAUGAGGAUUUUGGUGACGAUGAGAUGAAUCCAACAAAAUCAAGGAAAUUUGUUAGCGCGAGAGAGUACUAUUGCUUCAAGUUGUGUGUCUGGAAGAAGCUUUUUAACAUCAUCUUGUUUGGGGGGCGCCUUUUCCAACAGUGGGUUGUUGACAUGUACAUCAAGAUUGAGACAAUGAGGCUUGACUGGUAUUCAAAGCCAGCAAAUCAAAAGGUUAUACACGCUGACCUGUACCAGGUAACGUGCUUCUAUUUAUCACAAAAUUUACAUGUCAGAUGCCUCACUCUUUGCUUGAACCUUUAUACUAAUUGGAGUGAAAUAUUGUUUUAUUAUAGGGUCUUGUUGACACCGUCGUUGCUGGCGAGUCACGCGGUGAUCGGAUUGGCAAGAGAAUCGUGCUUCCACGUACAUUUCCUGGUGGUGACCGUGACAUGCAGCGCAGGUUUCUGGAUGCGAUGGCAAUAUUUCAACGUUGGGGUAAACCGGAUUAUUUUCUCACGAUGACAUGCAAUCCCUACUGGGAGGAGAUAACGCAGGAAUUGUUGCCUGGACAGCUGCCACAAGACCGCCCAGACCUUGUGGCAAGAGUAUACAGAGCUAAGCAACGAAAUAUGAUGGACUUACUAACUAAGGGUAAGCAUUUCAGAGAAGUCGCAGCUUAUGUACAUGUCACAGAGUUUCAGAAGCGAGGUCUCCCGCAUGAGCAUAUACUUCUAAUCAUGAAAGCAAAAAGCAAGUUAAGGACCCCAGAUGACUAUGAUAGGGUGAUAUCUGCAGAGAUACCCGACAAAAAGAAAUAUCUUGUCCUCCAUGAUCUGGUAGUCAAACACAUGUUGCACGGCCCAUGUGGUGCACUCCAGAAAAUUGCCCUUGCAUGAUAGAUGGACAAUGUCGAUUUCAUUACCCGCGAGAUUUCUGUAAUGCUACAUUACAAGGGAAAGACUCAUAUCCCAUCUAUAGAAGGAGGGACGGCGGGGUUCGAGUAAGGAUCAGGGAGCAGAUUUGGACAAUAGAUGGGUGGUCCCUUACAACCCCUUUCUGCUUAUGAAAUACAACUGUCAUAUAAAUGUCGAAGCAUGCUCAAGCAUCAAGGCAGUCAAGUACUUAUUCAAGUACAUCUACAAAGGGCAUGAUAAGGCAUCAUUUGCAUUCGAGCAGGAUAUUAUCAAUGAUGGGGGAAUCAUUAAUGAAAUUCGUCAAUACAGGGAUGCACGCUAUAUAUCUCCUCCAGAAGCUAUUUACAGGAUUUUUGGGUUUAAAAUGUUUGGUGUUAGUCCAUCUGUGUUACAGCUGCAGCUUCAUUUGCCAAACAUGCACACAGUCGCAUUUAAGGGUUAUGAAAAUCUGGAAGAUGUUGUCGCUCGCCCAACUUCUUCCAAAUCCAUGCUUACCGAGUACUUUGAGAUGAACAAGAAGUAUCCAGCGGCACGAAAAUGGUUGUACAGAGAGUUCCCAGAACAUUAUAGGUGGAUUGCCGCUAAUAAAAAGUGGCAAACGAGAAGAAGUAAGAGAUCACAGAUUGGAAGACUGGUGUAUGCACACCCUGCUGAAGGAGAGAGGUACUACUUGCGGGUGCUCCUAAGUCAUGUCCGAGGUGCCACUUCAUUUGAUGAUUUAAAAACAGUAAAUGGCAAGCCAUGCACUUCCUUCAGAGAGGCAUGUGAGCACUUAGGCCUCAUUGAGCAUGACAGGACACUGGAUGAUUGCAUGACGGAGGCAGCGACAUUUCAAAUGCCUUCUACUCUUAGACGGUUGUUUGCGACUAUACUGGUAUUCUGUGAGGCAACACAAAUCCGUCAAUUGUGGGACAAACAUCUACCAUCGAUGGCUGAAGAUUACCGCCGCACUAAGUCGAACGAGGCAACACUUGAGCAGAUGGUCCUUAGAGAUGUCAGGGAUCUGGUGCAAUCCAUGGGUAAGGAUAUUAAAAUGUAUGGACUUCCAGAUCUGGUUGACACAGAUGGUUCUUCUGACGCCGAGUAUAGAGAGGUAAUAGAGGAGAGACAAGUUAGAGUUGACCAAGAGCAUCUAGAUCUAUUUAGCUGUUUGAACAGUGAACAAAUGGAUGGUUUCAACGACAUGAUGGAUCAUGUGACGAACCAAAAAAGCCAGAUAUUUUUUGUUGAUGGUCCAGGAGGCACUGGGAAGACGUACCUGUACAAGGCAUUGCUUGCAAAGGUCCGUUCGAUGGGCCUAAUAGCGAUCGCAACUGCUACAUCAGGUAUAGCGGCGUCAAUAAUGCCUGGAGGCCGGACUGCGCACUCCAGGUUCAAAAUUCCAAUCAAGCUCACUAACAACAACAUGUGUGGUUUCACAAAGCAGAGUGGUACGGCAGAGUUGCUUAAACAGGCGUCCUUGAUAAUUUGGGAUGAAGUUGCUAUGACAAAGCGUCAAGCAGUUGAGACGCUUGACAGAUCGCUACAAGAUAUAAUGGAAUGUCCUCUGCCGUUUGGUGGAAAGGUUGUUGUCUUUGGUGGGGAUUUCAGGCAGGUCCUCCCCGUUGUUACACGAGGGACAAGAGCACAGAUCACGGAUGCUACACUGUUGAGAUCCUAUCUGUGGGAUAAGAUCCGCAAGAUACGCCUCACGCGCAAUAUGCGGGCACAGGCGGACCCUUGGUUCUCCGAAUACCUCCUAAGGAUUGGCAAUGGAACGGAAGAAACUAUUGGUGACGACUAUGUGCGUCUCCCUGAAGACAUUGUGAUUGGUUAUACUGAGGAUGAAGAACCUAUUAACAAGCUCAUCGAAGAUGUCUUCCCAUCCCUGCACACCAAUGCUAGGUCGAGGGAGUACAUGAGCAAACGUGCAAUUCUCUCGACCAAAAACGAGCAUGUGGAUGACCUGAAUGACAAGAUGAUCUCUAGGUUUCCGGGAGAAGAAAAGGUAUAUCAUAGCUUUGACUCUAUCGAGGAUGACUUCCAGAAUAAUUACACGAUUGAUUUUCUGAACUCCAUCACACCAAAUGGCUUGCCCCCCAUGUCUUGAAAGUAAAAAUCAACUGCCCGAUCAUUUUGCUACGGAACCUCGACCCUCAUAAUGGCUUGUGUAAUGGAACACGGCUUAUGAUCAGAGCCUUCCAGGAUAAUGCAAUCGAUGCGGAGAUUGUUGGUGGCCAGCAUGCUGGAAAGAGGGUGUUCAUACCUAGGAUCCCCAUGUCGCCAUCGGAGGACACCUCACUUCCCUUCAAGCUUAAGAGAAAACAAUUCCCCAUCCGCCUGAGUUUUGCGAUGACCAUUAACAAGGCACAGGGUCAAACCAUCCCGAAUGUCAGUAUUUACCUUCCCGAACAUGUUUUCUCACAUGGCCAGCUAUAUGUUGCAUUGUCAAGGGGUGUGUCAAGAAAGACGACACGAAUUUUAGCCAAGCCUAACAAGGAGGUUGAUAAAUCUGGGAAGAGCACCAAAAACAUUGUCUACAGAGAUGUUUUAGAGGGGUGAGGCAGGUACGAUCUUUCGUGUAUUCUUUGCACCUUUGCUUUUGUAUCUAUAUAACUAAUUCUCGACCUAACACUUUUCUUUUCUUUUAUUUUCAGGUCUUGUUGGGACAGAGUGUGAAGCUUCCUUUACUUUGCGGUGGAGAUGAGUGAUACAAUAAACCAGGCGCUGGAUUAGCCAUAUUAGGGAACAGUCUAUAUUGUAUUCUGUGCUAUCUAAAUAUACUGUAGCGUUCUGUUCUGCUGAAGAUGUUCUCGAACGCCAAAGUGUCCUGCAGUCUUUGAACCCCUUUCAUUUUCUUUCAUGUAAAGUUUUUUUGAAGAUGUCUCCGGCUGUUGAGUAACUUAACUUAUGUUAGCUAUGUCAUAUAUUUGUGAUGAAAACUGCAAGAGUCUAUGAGAUUUGCAGAAUGUAGUGAAGUUGAGAGGCAUUAUUACUACUGUAUGACCAUAGGUCGUUCCCGAAUCUUUGGUACAUGAGAUCACAUGCUUUCUUUUUUUAGAAAGACAAUAGAAUAUUAGAUGGCUUUAGGUUCACUUCAGUGUUUACCUGAAAAUUGGGGACAGCAACAGGCGCGGAAUCGAUUAUGGAACCCUUAAUCUCUUGCACCGCUGAAGGAUCUUGCCGCUGUAAAUCGACAUCAGGAUAACCACACAUUACUAAACACCGAGUCGAAAAAACAGACAGUAGAAUAGGUACAAGAACGUUCCAAGCAAAGCAAUCUUUACCCACAGGAUCCCCUUGACUUGCCUUACAGACUUGACACUGUCUCACAUUCUUGGAACGACUUAAAGCACUUCCCUGGCCCCUCCUAUCAAGCACGGCCGCUGAGGGUACAUUAACUAGCUGGCAAGACAAAUGAUACAAGAAUUGUAUUUCUAUACAGAGAGGUAAACUUUAUGUAUAAAAAAAGGUAAGAGAAAGCACACAAAAGUAUCGAUGAAACGUUCCGAUGAGCUGAACCCAAUAAUUCUGUAUAAAAAUGUAUUACGAAAAUAACUCCUUUAAUUCUGUAUGUGUGGGGUAUAAAAAAACAAAAAAACAUUGGGUCUGAGAUAAACGAGGAAAGUGUGGGGCCUGAGAUAACAAUCACGAUUCCCUGGACUCCUCACGCUAUGGAAGUCCUUCCCGUGAUUUCUGCCUUACAUAUUGCC
Molecule: long non-coding RNA, 9447 nt
Filed under: Triticum aestivum (bread wheat)
Lineage: Eukaryota; Viridiplantae; Streptophyta; Magnoliopsida; Poales; Poaceae
Description: long non-coding RNA (TAES_LNC014726)
Source: RNAcentral